UCUAACAGAAAUAUCAGUUCUAGAGUCUAACAAAAAUUUACAAUCAUUCAAAAUCAAAUUCAAUUCAGAAAUGUCUAAAUGUGGAUACUGAAAAGCUUAAAUCACUUGCAAACAGUCCAUAAAAAUGCAGUCAUUAAAAAAAAAAAAUUUCGUCACAAAGAGCAAACAGUGACAGAGAGUUAAAAUUCUAACAAUUAUCGGCGUACCAUUAUCUUCCGAGAAACCAGAAACACCAUGUUGAAAUAUAUCCUCAGAGUUUUCCACAACAAAAUUGUAGUCAAUAAAAUCUUGAGUUUGAAACAAAGUCUCGUCUAUUUAACAAAACCAACUAAAAUUGUCCAAAUUUGAAGAUGACGUACGAAUUUGGAGAGAAAUGGCUUCAAGAUCACGAGUAGGGUUUGAGGAAUAAAACAAGUUUCUGCCCUAAUAUAAAGUAGCAGUGGUAUUUCCAUGCAAAACACAAGCACGUUGAAUAGUUUCCUAAUCCAAGAUAUAAUGCAUGACGUCUUCCACAAG
RNAcentral lists this long non-coding RNA (516 nucleotides) under Manihot esculenta (cassava). RNAcentral describes it as "long non-coding RNA (MESC_LNC002709)". The record is from RNAcentral. Lineage: Eukaryota; Viridiplantae; Streptophyta; Magnoliopsida; Malpighiales; Euphorbiaceae.